AUUGAACGCUGGCGGCAGGCCUAACACAUGCAAGUCGGACGGUAGCACAGGGGAGCUUGCUCCUCGGGUGACGAGUGGCGGACGGGUGAGUAAUGUCUGGGGAUCUGCCCGAUAGAGGGGGAUAACCACUGGAAACGGUGGCUAAUACCGCAUAACGUCGCAAGACCAAAGAGGGGGACCUUCGGGCCUCUCACUAUCGGAUGAACCCAGAUGGGAUUAGCUAGUAGGCGGGGUAACGGCCCACCUAGGCGACGAUCCCUAGCUGGUCUGAGAGGAUGACCAGCCACACUGGAACUGAGACACGGUCCAGACUUCUACGGGAGGCAGCAGUGGGGAAUAUUGCACAAUGGGCGCAAGCCUGAUGCAGCCAUGCCGCGUGUAUGAAGAAGGCCUUCGGGUUGUAAAGUACUUUCAGCGGGGAGGAAGGCGAUGUGGUUAAUAACCGCGUCGAUUGACGUUACCCGCAGAAGAAGCACCGGCUAACUCCGUGCCAGCCGCCGCUGUAA
This 506-nucleotide ribosomal RNA is filed under the name uncultured bacterium. Its description in RNAcentral is "partial 16S ribosomal RNA". It matches the Rfam family "Bacterial small subunit ribosomal RNA", at positions 29 to 523 of the family's 1533-position model. The record is from RNAcentral.